This 864-nucleotide ribosomal RNA is filed under the name uncultured sulfate-reducing bacterium. Its description in RNAcentral is "bacterial SSU rRNA". It matches the Rfam family "Bacterial small subunit ribosomal RNA", at positions 301 to 1155 of the family's 1533-position model. The record is from RNAcentral.
UGAUCAGCCACACUGGGACUGACACACGGUCCAGACUCCUACGGGAGGCAGCAGUGAGGAAUUUUGCGCAAUGGGGGAAACCCUGACGCAGCAACGCCGCGUGAGUGAUGAAGGCCUUAGGGUCGUAAAGCUCUGUCAAGUGGAAAGAAAAUGCAAAGUGCUAAUAUCGCUUUGCACUGACGGUACCACUGAAGGAAGCACCGGCUAACUCCGUGCCAGCAGCCGCGGUAAUACGGGGGGUGCAAGCGUUAUUCGGAAUUAUUGGGCGUAAAGCGCACGCAGGCGGUGUGGUCAGUCAGAUGUGAAAGCCCGGGGCUCAACCCCGGAAGUGCAUUUGAAACAGCCACACUUGAGUACUGGAGAGGAAAGGGGAAUUCCUGGUGUAGAGGUGAAAUUCGUAGAUAUCAGGAGGAACACCGGUGGCGAAGGCGCCUUUCUGGACAGAUACUGACGCUGAGGUACGAAGGUGUGGGUAGCGAACAGGAUUAGAUACCCUGGUAGUCCACACAGUAAACGUUGUACAUUAGGUGUUGCGGGUAUUGACCCCUGCAGUGCCGGAGCUAACGCAUUAAGUGUACCGCCUGGGGAGUACGGUCGCAAGACUAAAACUCAAAGAAAUUGACGGGGGCCCGCACAAGCGGUGGAGCAUGUGGUUUAAUUCGACGCAACGCGAAGAACCUUACCUGGAUUUGACAUCCCGGGAAUCUCUUUGAAAAAAGAGAGUGCCCUUCGGGGAACCCGGUGACAGGUGCUGCAUGGCUGUCGUCAGCUCGUGUCGUGAGAUGUUGGGUUAAGUCCCGCAACGAGCGCAACCCCUUUCUUCAGUUACCAGCAUUCAGUUGGGGACUCUGAAGAUACUGCCCC